RNAcentral lists this ribosomal RNA (253 nucleotides) under uncultured bacterium. RNAcentral describes it as "partial 16S ribosomal RNA". It matches the Rfam family "Bacterial small subunit ribosomal RNA", at positions 524 to 776 of the family's 1533-position model. The record is from RNAcentral.
UACGUAGGAGGCAAGCGUUGUCCGGAAUUACUGGGUGUAAAGCGCGUGUAGGUGGGAGGCCAAGUCUGUGGUGAAAUCGCCCGGCUCAACUGGGCGCAGUCCAUGGAAACUGGUCACCUGGAGGACGGUAGAGGCGAGUGGAAUUCCCGGUGUAGUGGUGAAAUGCGUAGAUAUCUGGAGGAACACCGGUGGCGAAGGCGGCAUCCUGGACCGGUAUUGACGCUGAGGCGCGAAAGCUAGGGGAGCAAACGGG